GUUCAGUUUGACACAGCCAAAGAUGUGUGGGAUGCGGUUAAGAGAAGUUAUCUUGAUGUCUCUGAUUCAUCUCAAGUUUAUGAACUAAUGAAAAAAUCUUUUCAACUGAGGCAAGAGGGGCGGCCUCUUGUCACAUACUACACUGAAAUGAAUUCCAUUUUUUUGGAGCUUGACCAUCGCAGACCUAAUUCCAUGAAGUGCGCCGCCGAUGUUGAUGCAUUAAAGAAGAGGUGUGCUGAAGACAGAAUUUAUAUGUUUUUGGCGGGACUUGAUCAUGGUUUGGAUCAAGUGCGUAGUCGUAUUUUGGCUACUACACCCCUUCCAAGCUUGGAAGAGGUGUUCUCGACUGUUCGUCGUGAGGAACAGCGACAACUCACUAUGGGGGGCGAAAGCCAUUCUGAGGCGUCUGCGUUGGCUGUAAAAGGGUUCAAUCCUCGAUCACGAGCUCCUAUUCAGUCUACUGAAAUUUGCUCAUUCUGUCACCUAAAAGGACACACUGCUGACAAGUGUUUCAAAAAAAAUGGCUAUCCAGACUGGUAUUUAGCAAAGAGGGCAGAGAAGAGGGGUGGAAGAUCAUCUCAGACUACGCAUUCAUCUCAUGCACCUACAGCUACUGUUUCUCAUGUUGCUCGUUCAUCUUCUGGAGAAGGUACUUCUGGGGUGCAAUCUGCUUCUACUGUAUCUGAUUUUUGGGUUAUAGAUUCUGGAGCUACUGAUCAUUUUACCUGUAAUCCCUCUACAUUUGACUCGUUGACAAAUUCGCCUGUUCAGUCUGUUCAGGUGGCUAAUGGGACUCCUGUCAAAAUUACUGGGGCUGGGAAUGUCUCGUUUUCACCUACUUUCUCAAUCUCAUCUGUUUUACUUGCUCCUACGUUUUCCACUAAUCUCUUAUCUAUUAGUAAAAUUACAAAGCAUCUUGAUUGCUCUGUCAUCUUCUCACCUACUCAUUGUGUAUUUCAGGACAAUCGAACGAAGAUGACGAUUGGCACUGGUAGAGAAAGAGGAGGGCUG
Molecule: long non-coding RNA, 1011 nt
Filed under: Olea europaea subsp. europaea
Lineage: Eukaryota; Viridiplantae; Streptophyta; Magnoliopsida; Lamiales; Oleaceae
Source: RNAcentral